AGGGUUCUUCGGGCAACUUUCCUUUCCGGGUGUUCUGAAGCGGUUUUCCUGUAAUCCUCAGUGAGGAAACCCACCGUGAAUCGGAUUGCCGUUCAGUCCCACGGAAGCCUGGCUCGUUGGCCAUGUCGGGGACGCAUGUUCAUUAAGUUCAUUAAAAUAAUUUCAUUUGUCUUGGUUUGAAGACUGCUUCAUUCUGCCUCUAGUACCAGCGGUUUCUCUGUUCUGUGAUCAAUGUGAUUCACAGGAACUCCUUAAGUAACAAACGAAAUGAGCCAGGGGCGUGGAAAAUAUGACUUCUAUAUUGGUCUGGGAUUGGCUAUGAGCUCCAGCAUUUUCAUUGGAGGAAGUUUCAUUUUGAAAAAAAAAGGCCUCCUUCGACUUGCCAGGAAAGGCUCUAUGAGAGCAGGUCAAGGUGGCCAUGCAUAUCUUAAGGAAUGGUUGUGGUGGGCUGGACUGCUGUCAAUGAAUUAGUGCAGUUCAAAAC
RNAcentral lists this long non-coding RNA (484 nucleotides) under Pan troglodytes (chimpanzee). RNAcentral describes it as "long non-coding RNA NONPTRT005540". The record is from RNAcentral. Lineage: Eukaryota; Metazoa; Chordata; Mammalia; Primates; Hominidae.